RNAcentral lists this ribosomal RNA (137 nucleotides) under uncultured bacterium. Its description in RNAcentral is "partial 16S ribosomal RNA". It matches the Rfam family "Bacterial small subunit ribosomal RNA", at positions 355 to 509 of the family's 1533-position model. The record is from RNAcentral.
UGGGGAAUAUUGCGCAAUGGGGGCAACCCUGACGCAGCGACGCCGCGUGCGGGAGGAAUGCCCUCGGCCGCAGACCGCUUUCGGCGGGGACGAAUCACGACGGUACCCGCGGAAGAAGCCCCGGCUAACUACGUGCC